Molecule: ribosomal RNA, 469 nt
Filed under: uncultured bacterium
Lineage: Bacteria
Description: partial 16S ribosomal RNA
Rfam family: Bacterial small subunit ribosomal RNA
Source: RNAcentral
GGACGAACGCUGGCGGCGUGCUUAACACAUGCAAGUCGAACGGAAAGGCCCUGCUUUUGUGGGGUGCUCGAGUGGCGAACGGGUGAGUAACACGUGAGUAACCUGCCCUUGACUUUGGGAUAACUUCAGGAAACUGGGGCUAAUACCGGAUAGGAGCUCCUGCUGCAUGGUGGGGGUUGGAAAGUUUCGGCGGUUGGGGAUGGACUCGCGGCUUAUCAGCUUGUUGGUGGGGUAGUGGCUUACCAAGGCUUUGACGGGUAGCCGGCCUGAGAGGGUGACCGGCCACAUUGGGACUGAGAUACGGCCCAGACUCCUACGGGAGGCAGCAGUGGGGAAUAUUGCACAAUGGGCGGAAGCCUGACGCAGCAACGCCGCGUGCGGGAUGACGGCCUUCGGGUUGUAAACCGCUUUCGCCUGUGACGAAGCGUGAGUGACGGUAAUGGGUAAAGAAGCACCGGCUAACUACGUG